UACGUAGGGUGCAAGCGUUGUCCGGAAUUAUUGGGCGUAAAGAGCUCGUAGGCGGUCUGUCGCGUCGGCUGUGAAAACCCGAGGCUCAACCUCGGGCCUGCAGUCGAUACGGGCAAACUAGAGUACUGCAGGGGAGACUGGAAUUCCUGGUGUAGCGGUGAAAUGCGCAGAUAUCAGGAAGAACACCCGUGGCGAAGGCGGCUCUCUGGGACGGUACUGACGCUGAGACGCGAAAGCGUGGGGAGCGAACAGG
This 253-nucleotide ribosomal RNA is filed under the name uncultured bacterium. RNAcentral's name for it is "partial 16S ribosomal RNA". It matches the Rfam family "Bacterial small subunit ribosomal RNA", at positions 524 to 776 of the family's 1533-position model. The record is from RNAcentral.